Molecule: long non-coding RNA, 3993 nt
Filed under: Mus musculus (house mouse)
Lineage: Eukaryota; Metazoa; Chordata; Mammalia; Rodentia; Muridae
Description: long non-coding RNA chrX:99042633-99046626
Source: RNAcentral
ACCUGCGCGGCGAGCAUAGUCUAGUUGACAACGGCUAAGCAGCUACUAUAGCUGCAAUUCUGGCUCGCACCUUUACCCCUGGCUCCACGCGUGUCUUCUUCGAGCAGCCCUGCCCGCGCUUGCCUCCUAUCCCUUUGCCGCUGUGUGGACGCGGCUGCCAAGUAAGAGUUGGGGCGACGUCAGGGGGACACCCAGGCAGACUGGGGCCCUGACCUCCAGUAUCCCGCUUAGCCGCUGUGGCGCUCCAGCCCUUCUGCUCUCCUGGCAGUUCCGCUGGGCUGAGGACGCGAGAGACAGGAAGGAAAGUAGCCCGGGCUGCCUCUGCUUAUGGGCGGGGUUCAGAGUUAUAGAAACUUAGAGACCCCUGAUUGUGCCGGCUGCACACUCCCAUAGGAGCCCCGCAAACGGCUGGUCUGGUGGCCUGAGGACCCCUGGCGUAACUGGCGCGGCGGCCUUCCCAGGGACUCAGUGGGCGGCGGGCGCUGGGCGGGGGUGCCCAGUCUGCCCUCCUUCUACUUCGGGGGACAUUUCCAGGAAGGCUUCAGCCCCAUGGACUUUUCCGUCGGCCCCUGCCUCACUGCCUUCCCACCUGGACAACUCCGGAGAGUGAGCUGUUCUCAGGGUAGCUGUGCAGAGCGAGUUAAUCAAUACUUCUGAAUAAGUCGCUGGGACUCAGUUUGCCAGGAGGUCUCACAGAAGUUUAGAUUAGAAAAGCUCAGACGAAAGGCUAUUAGAUGGAAGUUUGGGGGAGCUCUAACUUGGGUAGUCUCAAUGUCUCUUCCAACACUUGCUCAAGUUCAGCACUGAAUUACCACUCAGGAAACCGGGGUUCCGCCAGUCCUUAUGACCUCAGGCGGGUCAUGCUUUCCUGAGUGACAAGUGUUUUCAAUGGCAUCUCAAUUGGCAGCUAGAUUUCUGUAUCAGAAGGACCCCGGUUUCUUCAGCUCUGAUACUGGCUAACUUGGUGCCUGGGCCCAGUCUUUUAAACCAGUAAGUAAAGAAAGAUGGUCUCUGAGACACUUGGGUGACUGGAGGUAGGCAGUCAGCGGCUCCUAUGAUGGUUAUGCAGCUAGAUUAGCUGGAAAACUACUGUGGGGUAGAUGGCAAACUGAAUGUGAGGAGGGGCAGGACUUUUUUUUCCCCAGACACCAGGUUUCUCACUUUGGGGACCCCAGAGAUUGCACUUAGACAUGGUAUUCAGGCAAAGGACUGACUGGUGUCCUAGUUUGCUUGGGUCUCACUCAGCGCACCCAGUAAUCCUGGGAGAAGAGGGUAAUGAAUCACCCAGGGCUAUUUUCAAACCUUGACUCCUGCUGCAGUUCUAGCGCCCACGCCCACUCGGAGGGUUUCAGUCCCUGCCUGUGCCAUCAGUAUUCUUGCUGUCUGGGUUUCCUCUAGCCUUCCCUUCUUGGAAUGAAAGGGAGACAUUUCUUUCUUGGGGGACUGGAGGUGAGCAGCCCAAGGCACAAGUGGUGUCUAGGUGAGUGGUCGAGUGGGAGAGGUGGAGAUAAAGUUUUUAUCCUGAAGUUGUAGCUGCCAUUUCGCUGGGUAGCUGGUGUUGGUCCUUACUUCAGAGUGUUGGUCUUUCUUUUCGCCCAGGUUCCCGACUUGGAAUUUCUGUUCCUUGAACCUCUAUAGUUAUUGCUGAGAGAUGCCAUACUGAACAGAGGCUGUUUGCCCCUGGUCGCUUACCCUCAUUCCACAGUGCUAAGGGAUCUUUGAAGAAUGCCAGGCCUCUGUGUACGUCUGAGCUUCUGCCUUCAGGAGAGGCUGCCAGGAGAUGAUAUCUGAAGAUGUAAAGAUGGCACAGUGGCUAUGCACCUUGUGUGGAUGCAAAGGAAGGGACAACGAGUCUUGUAAAGAUGAUGGCCUUAAUAUGUUCAAGGCUGGAGCAGAGGAGCAAAAGAAAGGGGGUUACCAAGAGGGCCAAACUGGCCUUCAGUCUUAUCUUUAUUAAUUUUUAGUUAAUGAGCAAAAUAAUGAAUGCCACUAUAGUAUUUCCAUACAUGCAUGCUGUUGUACUUUGCUCAUAAUCACUCCUCUGCCACCUCUUGCUCCCCCCAUAUGUAUUGACAUUUUAAAAAAAAAUCCAUUUUGGAGACUACAGAUUGGAAUGGGAGCACAGGACAUCUGCAGCCAGGUAUAAGCAUAGCAGCAGGAUACACCGGCAAGACAGUCACAGGGGAAGGAGGGGCAGUCUCGGGUUGGGAUGCCGCUUUGCCUUUUGUUAGCUAACUUCUGCAGCAUCCUUGUUCCAGCCCUGGAUAAUGUGUGUUCCGUGAAUGGCAAGUUCUUGGGGAAGGAUGGAAAAGAGGGUCCUCAUCUGAAAGAAGGGGUUACUUUAUUCUUGAGUUAAAAAGAUAACUUUUUUCUUUUCUCUUUCCUCCCCCCCCCCUUUUCCCCAAUUUGGGUAGGAUCAAACCUUAGGCCACUUGGCUGCCCAGUGUGGAGUUGUCAGAGAUUUCAGGGCUUGGAAUAGGAGACCUAUCUAUGUGCAUCAAUGUGUUAAAGUCUUCGAGGACCUGGGGCUGGGGGGUUGUUUUCUUUUGUUGUUGGGAUGUGGGGAUGGAACCCUUGGUCUGAUGCAUUCUAAGCUAGUACUGAGAUCCACCCCUAACCAUUGGUAAGUUUUAUAGUCCCUCUCACCCCACAACCCCAGGUGAGAUGUUUGAGCACUGUGCUGGUCAUGCAGUUGUUGGUGACAAAGGUUUAUUAAUGCUUUCCUAAUUUGUGACUCGGGGGCUUGGAGUGUGCAUGUGCGUGUGCUUUUAUGUACAUGGGUCCUUGUCGGAAUGAGUCAGUGCAGUAGAGGUCUCCAGUCUGCGCCAUAGUCACAAGUCUGAAAUGCUGAGUUUGUGUAUUGAGUUUCCUCUGGUGUGGUCCUCCAUAGUGGGGACUUGCACGCUGAGCACUUGCUGUUCCGGUUUAUCCCAGCCACAAGCAGGGAUUUCAGAAUCCACUGUUAAGUGCCUUAGCAGUCCAGGGUGUCCCAGAACAAAGAACAAGGGAUUGGAGGUCUAAAUCCAGUCUCUGUUGUUCUCUCCACACUGUCACCCCUCGGGUGGCUUUCUUCUUUGUACUUCACCGGAUUAAACAAGGGGAUCAAUAGCUAAGUGCUUUGUAAGCUACAAAAGGCUAGGGCUAGCUAGUUCUCAGGAAGGACCCAUGGUUCUGACACCCACUAUUGGGAAAUCCGCCAUCCAGUUGAGGGGUUUAGUGGCCUGAGACACUCCUCAUUGAGGACUUAAAAAUAUUAUUAAAAAAUUAAGCAUAUUUUUAAAAGGGAAGCAAUCAGUGUAAUUAGGGCUCAAGAACCAUAUAGUCCCACCUACUGCUUUUCUUGUUACUUUGAAACAAAUCUCAGACUUGUGUGUUAUCAAAUUGAACUAAAAAUAGACCAGUGUAUCUUUCUAAAAGAGAAAGGACUUGCAGCAAAAUAACCACAGUGUCAGCUAUCACACCAAACCUAGUCCCCUAGUGUCACCCGAAGUGUGGUUAGUAGUCACAUUUCCAGUUGUUUUGCCCUGGAGUUCAGACCAGGGGGAAUUGCUGAGGAGGAGGUGACUGACAAGUAGGAGACAUUUGAUCUGGGCUGCAGAACACAGGCUAGAGGGAUUAUAGAGCUCGGGCCUCUUCAUUUUCCAGAUGCCACAUUGCCAGUAGCAGAUGUGAGCUGCUCUGGGGCUCCUGAUCCCGCGGCUGACUUGUAGAAGCUUCUUGCAGAAACUUCAGAAACUCCUGGCCUUCAUUCCUGAAGUAGCAAAAGAGAGAUUGAAUUCCCACUUGACUCCUGUGCUAGGGGCCACCCAAGAGUUUGAGGUCAACAGGCCUGGGAGAAUUCCUAGGAGGUUGCUCUCUUUCUCCAGGCCCCUCCCCGGCUCCAGGACCCCGAGGCCAAUUUGAAGCAAAACAGGAUGCAUCCAGGAUGAGCGCCUUUUCCAGCUUGUCAUCUAAUCACCAAGGCCCAGCUUGGAGCUUCCUCUUUCAUUUAUG